RNAcentral lists this long non-coding RNA (6642 nucleotides) under Malus domestica (apple). Its description in RNAcentral is "long non-coding RNA (MDOM_LNC004983)". The record is from RNAcentral. Lineage: Eukaryota; Viridiplantae; Streptophyta; Magnoliopsida; Rosales; Rosaceae.
GCUGCAAUAAAGGCCAAUGUCAUGACAAGAAUGUGUUCUGCAAAGUUCUUCAAAGCAACAAAGUAUCCACAUAAUAGACCAACAACUUUGUUUAACAUUUCAUAAGCAUAUACAAAUGGUAAUUUUCUCGAUAACAAAACCUAGUAACUGAGUAAAUCCCUGUUACUAUUUCUUUCAUCAUGUGAUUCAGAUAAAAACAAUAAAAGUAAAAGAUAAAACCUCUUCCUUUAUCCUUUCCUUCCCAACAUCGCAAUGACUCAAUCAAGUACUCGUAUUCCAAGUGGGAUUGCAGUUAUUAAACUGAAAAUAUGACUUCACCCCUAGAACAUAGAUUUUUUAUGUAAAACCCGACAUAAUUGUUUUACUUGAUUAAACCCCAAUAAUUAGGAUCCCCAUAAGCAUAUUCCUUAAUUAAGCUUGAAUACAAAUAUUUUACAUGUUUCCAAUGGCUAUAUUAUCCCUAAUAACAAUUGGAUUUAGACAUUUCUUUUCCUAUUCUAUAUUAUCCCUAAAUGGGUACAUUAAUGAUAUAUAAAUAGACAAACAUUAUGAAACUCAUUGAAGGCGCAAAACAAGGAGUAAAUCUUUGAUAUUGACAUGAUUGGAGAAUACUUGCAAUUUUGUAAAAUGAUUGCAACUCAUAUUAAAUUUUGGAUUUUAUUUAGAGGUUAAGAAGUGCACGGGUAUUGAACUCCCGGAAGAAAAAAAGAAAAAAUACAGGUGAGUUUACGUUUAUGAAAUAAGAGUUACAAGUCUAUAAACAACCUUUAAACCAGAAGUUCCGCCGCCAUAGUUGUCGUACUGAACAGCGUGCAUGGUCUCAUUGGCCAUAGUCUCUCAGUUGUAAGUCCAACCAACGUUCCGAAGAGCCGCAGAAACUUGAAGCUCCUCCCUCCCGGAUUCUAUCAAAUACAGAGCUUAUGCUAGUACAGCAAUAGACUCAUUAGCCCAUGUCUAUAGUGGAACAAAUAUACGCGUGAUUGAUUGAUGUUCACUGAUUGACCCUUGUCUAUUGUGGAACAAAGACACGGGAUUCAUGGGCUAUAGUGGAACAAAUAAUACGCGUUAUUCAUAAUGAUGUUGACUGAUUGACCCUUGUCUGUCGUGGAACAAAUACACGUGAUUCAUAUUGAUGUAGACAGUACAAUCAGUAUAUGGUUUACAGUACGUAUGUGGUCCACAUGUUAAAUAGACGAUCAAUAAUUACAUGGUCCCUAUGUUAAAUAGACAACACGUAAGUGGUCCAUAUGUUAAAUAUACAAUAAGUGUAUGCAGUAGCAGAACCGGGAAGAGAUGGGAAAUUCAAAAUAAUGCAAGAUUCAAUCGAAGUGGUUGCUUUUAUAUUGGAGAGUGUAAAGUUUUGAGUCAAUAUUCAUAGUAGAAAAUAGUCUCUCCACUAAAACGGUUGUAAACGGUAAUAUCAAAACCAAUGUAAUAAGCUUAAAUUGGCUAGGUUUAUAUUCUAAAAAUAGACGCUAGUCAAACAGCGGACUGGAACUUAGUAGCUAGGCGCCUAAGACAGAUCUAGGCAUGAGCCUAGUGGGAUUUAAACGAAUUUCUUUUAUCAUAAAAUAAGCAUUAAGUUGUAGGCCUAUUUGAUUGAACGAUCUAGGGUUUAGAAAGAGAGAAGGAGCCGACUAUAUUAGGAGAAGAGAGAGUGAUUUAAUCGUGAGGUGUGUUUGAUUCACACAAUUGUGCCUUUAUUUAUAGUAGUAGGAUAGGUAAAAACAUUUUCCUUUAGGAUUACAAUAUUUAAUAGGUAAUCAACCCCUGAUAUAAAUAUAAGAUACAUUCCCAGAUUCCCUAAGAUUUACACAAUCACAUUCCUAUUCUAAAUAUGACUGCAACACUUUCCCUUGUAGCUAACGGGGGGAAUACGUCUCCUCGUAAUCACUCCCAAGGCGCUGAGAGAAGCCUUGCACUACGAGGUGUGCUUUGUAUCGUACUAUUUCAUUCUUCUCAUUACGCUUCCUCACGAAAACCCACUUAUAGCCAACGGGUUUCACGAGUUGUGGUGUAGGAACGAUAGGUCCAAAUACCUUACGUUUCGCGAGCGAAUCGAGUUCAACCUGGAUUACUUGUUUCCAGUUUGACCAAUCAGUUCUACGUCGGCAUUCAUCCAUCGACGGAACGUGGUUCAAUGUCAUCACUAAGCAUGAUGUUAGUAGCUACUGAAUACGCGAAUGCAUCGUCGACGAUCAUUUCAUUCCUAUUCCAAACCUUAUCUAAUAUUGCGUAAUGGACCGAAAUCUCGUGAUUCUCAAGAGGCCGGCAUGUUUCGUCUGAAGCAUCGCCGUAAUCUAGAAUAACCUCAUGCGUUGGAUCAGAUGAGUGAGCGAUGGUCGGAUUCAAACUAGGGUCACUAGUUGGUGCCAUUUUCCUCUUCCAAGGUUGUGAAUCCUUUGAACCAAGGGGUCUGCCACGCUUCAGGAUAGAAGCAAAUGAUUGGCUAGCUGCCAAUGUACCGUACCGCGUGGAAGGUGCGGCCUCCCUACCUUCGGGGACGGUCCGGCCUUCCCAGGCAGGUUGUUGACGUACACAGGGUACAUCUAUCCUUGCAGGUAUGUUUGCAGCGAGUAUAUGUGAUAUUGUCACCUUUGCUAGAUCAUUAAAAGCAUCCAGCAUACUUUGAGCAAUGCUCUGAAAAUCUAUAAUUCGUCGCACCUCAAUUUCAGAUUGGGCAGUGCGGGGAUCUAAAUGAGACAUAGUGGGAGCAUACCACGACAAUUUGUGGCGUUCUACGAGAACGUUAGCAUGCUUAUCUCCCCCUAAUGACCGGAAGACUGUCUCAUCAAAGUGACAAUUUGCAAAACAUGUGGUAAAGAGAUCUCUUGUCAAUGGUUCAAUGUCAUCACUAAUCAUAACCGACAUAGAUUCCCAUUUUUCUCUGAGGACCCAUUUUGGUACGUAGUGACGGUGCUAUUGGCACAUAAAUGGCGCACCCAAACACCUAUAAAUGCAAGACGUCAGGCUCGUAUCCAGUGACCAACUGUAACAGUGAAUAUGGUUGAGUAGCGGUGGGCCUUAGGCGGAUCAACAUAGCUACGUGCAAUAUUGCAUAGCCCCAGGCAGAUACUAGCAGUUUGGUUCUCAUAACCAAAAUCUGAGAUAUCAAUUAAAUGCGCUUUAUGAAAGCUUAUGCCAGGCCGUUUUGGAUGUGAACAUACGGUACAGGAUGUUCCACAUCAAUCCCUAAUGACAUGCAAUAAUCGUCAAACAUCUGUGACAUAAACUCUCUAAUGUUAUCCAGUCGAAUCAACUUAAUCGGAUAAUCAGGGUGGUGAGCCCUUAGCUUAAUGAUUUGAGCUAGGAGUUUAGCAAACGCGGUGUUGCGUGUGGACAACAAGCAAACAUGUGACCAUCUUGUCGAUGCAUCAACCAACACCAUAAAUUAUCUAAAUGGUCCACAUGUUGGUUGGAUAUGUCCACAAAUGUCCCCUUGAAUCCUCUAAAGAAACUUAGGGAGGUCGUGAAUAAUCCUUUUGUAUAUAAGGGUUAAGUAUUUAACUUCCCUAAAGAGCACGCUUUGCAUGGCGGGAGUCCAGCAUAUGGAUGUAACUUAUGCCCCGUGUGCAGAUUUGAGGAUACGGCACAUCAUAUCACAUCCAGGAUGUCCCAAACGGUCAUGUCAAAGCAACAAAGUGUCCUAGAACUCAGGCAUAAGGCCGGCCACACUGUGGGCUUCUAUGCUGGGAAUGGUUAUGAUGUACAAUCCACUCGGCAGACGUUUCAACUUCUCGUAAAUAUGCUUCUGGCCAUAUUCGUAUGAAGUGAUACAUAGAAAUUCAGAACCAUUAUCUUCUGUGGUUUCAAGAUGAUAUUGAUUAUCUCGAAUAUCUCUAAAACUCAGCAACGUUCUUCCGGAACGUGGAGAAUAAAGUGCCUUGUUAAUGUUCAAGAUUGUACCAUUAGAUAACAUGAUACGUGCCUUUCCGUAUCCUGCAAUCAGGUUGGAUGAGCUUGAGAGAGUUGUAAAAUGAGCUUUCUUGGGUAUUAAGUUAGUAAAAUAAUGUCGUUCACGCAAGAUGGUGUGUGUGGUUGCACUAUCUGCCAGACAACUAACUUCCCCACUAGACAUACAUAGAAAUAAAUUGAUUAAAUUGGUCACAUGCAUAAAUAUAAGUCCAUUCAUUCAAUUAACCAAUUCGAGAAAAUAAUAUCCAUUCCAAUAACAAUCCCUAAUUCAAAACAAACCAAAACCAAACAAAUUAUUCCAAAUACUUAGAAAAAUUGUUCAAAAUUAAACCAUAAAUCUAGAAAAAUAGGGGGGGUAUGGCCAGCCACUCCUAUUGGGUUCGGCCUUUAGGGGUAAACACCCUAAAAACAUGUCUAAUUUAUUCAUCCAUAAGCGUUGACGCCUCCUGAAAAUCCGAAAUGUCCAUUGAUGUAGUUGCAUCUUCCGGAUGAUCCACAUGUGCAAAGUUAGACUCAUAACUGGAAUGAUACUUGGCAAUAGCCUCAGGGGAAGCUUGACAUAAUAGUGACCAAUGAUCAUUUGAUCCACAAUGAUAGCACAUGUCCAGUUCAGCAGAAGCAGGCUGAACGGGAGCUUUGCCCUUAUUCUUGAAGUUUAUGGCCUUAGGGGAGAGUGGUUGACGCUGCUGGGUUACAUUUCUUCCCUUAGAUGUGGCACUUUGUUGACCUUGGGCUUGUGGUUGGGUUUGCCACCCAUUGCCACAGCUACGAUGAUUCUUUCGUCAUUUAUGGCUACUAGAAUAGGUCGCAUGCGCUUCAGCUUAGGCGUUCGAGCCAAUUGAUCGAGCUUGAUGAUUCUUCAUCAAAAGCUUGGUCUGCUUUUCAGCGAUAAGUAAAACAGAGAUCAAAUCCAAAAACUUGGUGAAUUUAUGUGCCCUAUAUUUUUGCUGCAGGACAAUAUUGGUGGCAUGGAAGGUGGAAUAAGUAUUCUCCAGAAGAUCUGAUUCGGUUAGUUCCACUUUGCAGAAUUUCAACAGUGAACGGAUUCUACAAACUUCAGAGUUGUAUUCAUUCACAUACUUAAAGUCCUGGAAGUGAAGAUGUUGCUAGUCGUGUCUUACUUCAGUAUGUCUUUCUGGCGAUCAAAACGGUCGGCCAGAGCAAGCCAAAGGGUGCGUUGGUCCUCCUCAGCGAGAUACUCAGUCUGCAGUGCAUCAUGGAUGUGCCUUCGAAUGAAGAUCAUUGUAGAAGCCUUCUAAGCUUUGUCAACAGGUUUGUCGGUGGUAGGUGCCUCGAUGGUGGCUCUGAUGCCCUUUGCAGUCAGAUGGAACUUCAUGUCUUGAACCCACUUCAGAUAGUUUCUUCCAGAAAAUUCUAGAGCAGAGAAAUCGAGCUUGUUUAAGUUCCACAUGUCCCUAAAACAGAAGGAAAAACGUGAGUAGUCAUAUGGUAAGCUAUAAACAUAUAUCGUAAAACAUACAGGUUCUAUAGGCAUGUACUGGUUUAAUUGAUGCAUGAAAACUACAGGUUUCAUGUGGUAUGUUUUGAAUAAAAACUGCGGGUUUCAAAGGUACUAAAUUUGAAAUUACAAGUUCAAUUUAGUUUUAUGAACAAUUAGUUCAUAAUGAGAUGUUCCUGCAAGAAACACAGAAUGCAAUAUACUAAUUUGAAUAUAGUGGAUUUGAGGUUCUUCGAGAACUCAAGUGUGAGAGCGUCGUUACUACGAAAGUAUGUGAUGGUUCAAAGUAAAAAAAUAAAUUAUUGAAUCGUUAAUGUCCAAAAGUGAUCUUUAGGUCAAUAAUUUUGGAUUCAUUAUUAUAUUAAUGGACUGCAUGACUCAAUCAAGUACUCGUAAUCCAAGUGGGAUUGCAGUUAUUAAAUUGAAAAUAUGACUUCACCCCUGGAACAUAUAUUUUUCAUCUAAAACCCGACAUAAUUGUUUUACUUGAUUAAAACCCAGUGAUUAGGAUCCCCAUAAGCAUAUUCCUUAAUGAGCUUGAAUUCAAAUAUUUUACAUGUUUCCAAUGGCUAAAUUAUCCCUAACAAUAUAUCAAGUUUUUUUUUUUUAACAAACAAUAUUUUUUACACUAAAGGAGGGGUGAACUUAGCCUCAUAAUGAGCUAGCAAUAAUGAGGUCUAAAUUUGCCUUUGGCGAAAAUUGAAGGUAAGACCUCUCUCUUUAACAAUUGUUCUUGCUUCUUAUUUUUUGUUUGAAAUUGAUUUAUUAUAUGCCACUAGGUAAAUUUGUGCUUGUAAAUAUAGAUAAAUUAGUGUAAAUAUAGGUAAAUUAGUGUAUUUCUUAUGUGAUGUCAUAAAAUAAUGUAUCUAUUCUUUUCUCACCCUUUAGUUGUAAUACUUCGUUGUAUGAAAAUAAUGUGCUUAUAUUGUGUCGGUAGGUAAUUAUUGCACAUGAAAAUGCAGGUAAAUAACUUAUAUAUACCAUAUAAGUAAAUUAGUGAAUCAACAAAUUCUAAAUGGGUACAUUAAUGAUAUAUAAAUAGACAAAACAUUAUGAAACUCAUUGAAGGCGCAAAACAAGGAGUAAAUCAUCCAUAUUGACAUGAUUGGAGAAUACUUGCAAUUUUGUAAAAUAAUUGCAGUAAUCGGUCAACUAUUUCUCUAGCUUGCAACUCAUAUUAAAUUUUGGGUUUUAUUUAGAGGUUAAGAAGUGCACGGGUAUAUUGAACUCCCGAAAAAAAAAAAAAAAAAAAAAAAACAAACAAACAG